This is a non-coding RNA of Acanthosepion pharaonis, 103 nucleotides long. NCBI's taxonomy places the organism in Eukaryota, Metazoa, Mollusca, Cephalopoda, Sepiida, Sepiidae. The record is from the annotation of a GenBank genome assembly.
CAUUGAAACACCGAUUCCCAUACAAUCACCAAUCAAGUUAAGCAACAUUGAGCUUGGUCAGUACCUAGAUGGGUAACUACUUGGGAAUACCACGUGCUGUAAG